CUAGGAUGAGUUCGCAAACUUAAUUGUCUGACCUCGUAUAGAGGGUAGAUAAGUCAUUAAAAGUGAAUUAAUUUUGCUUAACAUCUGAGGAAAAAUAUCCUAAAAUGUAUUUUUACGUGCCUUGACCUGUUAAUUUGGCUACUGAAAAUCUUUUUUAAAGUGUUUUUUAUAAGCAUGAAUGACCAUGUUGUAACAUAAUAAUAGUUUCAGGAAGCGAAUUUAAAAAAAUCCUGUCAUAAUGCAAAAAUUUGGUCCCAGGCUGAGCUUUUAUAUUAAAAGUUGCUCUUCGCCUCCCCCAUCCCCGCCCCAUGAACUAUUAACUCUUCAGCAGAGCCAUUCUGACCACUUUCUAAGUAAGUAAAUUUAUAUAUGUUUACAUAGUUCUCAUUAAAAUCACAAAUUGAAAUUACUACCUAGUAGGACAGUGUUUAACUUUGGCCCCAAUCCAUCAAAUAGAUCUGAGAAACUUUUUUAAAGGACUUAGUUAACACAAAUAGCAAACAGGACCCUAAAAAACCAAUGGCAUGUUCAAGUUCCACACUUUUCUGAGUGAGCCACUCAAACUAUUUACUAUUAUUUGAAACCCAAAUAAACCACAUUGUCCCAGGCCACAGAUCAGAACGAGGGCGAUUACCAGCAGAGCAGUCAAAAGCAAAGCAAACACAGAAGCCUAGAUAGAGGCUGUGGAGCAUGGGGCAAACAAGCCUGUAUGCCUGUUACUAGCCUUUUGGUAUUGGUACAUUUACUAGGGCACAGGACCUCAGAUUUUGUUUUUAAUGACUCAGAUGGAAAGGGGAAACAUUUACUUUAAAAGGCAAGUGAAAUAUAGUCUGUGGCUAUUUUAUAAUUUUGAUUAGAAUCAGAGGGGCCAAUUUCCACUUCAUGUGGAAAAUGUAUUUAUGUAGAUGUCCCUUUCCCCAUAGGUGCUAGACAUAUAGUACACGUUCAUCCUUUAUUAUGUCAAAAACUAAACUAUCAAUCAUAACUUUCAGAAUAUUCUUGCCUAUCUACAGUCAACACUUUUUCUUCAGCUGGUACAUCUGCCUGUCGUCUUGCUGGCUCAUUCACGCCUCUGGUAUUAUUUUGUUAAGUGAUAAUCCAUAGAUUUCCUACCCUGGAAGAUCUACCUGCUCCAAGUAGCCUUUCUGGAUACUGGUUUCUUACAAAUUGAAGAUAAGACCCUCCCUCGACCAGCAAAAAGAUUAUGACUUGCCGAAGGCUUUUUUUCGCAAUAAAGUUUUAAAAUUAAGCAGGGGAAACAAGUUCAAAGGCCUGAAAGACUGGGAACGAAGAUGAGAAAGGGAAUGGCAAGAGAGAAAAUUGGAAAAACAGAAUGGAGACCAAGUGAGAUGGUCCUUCAUGAUAGGGAGACAACUACAGAAUUCAGUCCUGCUAUGGAAUUUUAGACAGACCUGGACAUGAUUCCAAAAAGGUGAAGAAUACUUCCACAACAUUUG
Hipposideros armiger (great roundleaf bat) is the source of this 1457-nucleotide long non-coding RNA. RefSeq lists it as uncharacterized. The transcript is spliced from 3 exons. The record is from RefSeq and is a predicted model, not a curated record. Lineage: Eukaryota; Metazoa; Chordata; Mammalia; Chiroptera; Hipposideridae.